CUUUUUAACCUUGAAAUAUAUUGAACCCUAAAUAAGAUUAGAAUUAUUUUGUUGUUCAUUUUAAUUUUCAGCCGUAAGGGGUCGUUUGGUAGUUGAUUAGACUUAUGCAGGCAGUGUAUUAGUUAGGAGGGAAUAUAUGUAUUAUUUUAUGAACGGUUUAGUUAUUUAUGUACUACUUAUUAUUUAUUCCACCUGCGAGUUUCUAAUGCGAACCAAACAUGUAAUAAUUUUAUACAUGACCAGCUACCAAAUGUGGUAUAAUAAUUGUUUUUUUUUUUACCAACAUUAUGUUUGUGAUAAUACAAUUUAGUUAGGGAAAGUGACAUUUUU
Molecule: long non-coding RNA, 330 nt
Organism: Lycium ferocissimum
Lineage: Eukaryota; Viridiplantae; Streptophyta; Magnoliopsida; Solanales; Solanaceae
Exons: 2
Source: RefSeq, a predicted model, not a curated record